GAUUAGAUACCCUAGUAUUAUAAAAUUAAUAUAGAUUAGUAUAUUAUGAAAAUUAAUAAUUUUGGCGGUUAAUUAGUUUUAGAGGAGCUUGUAAAUUAAUAGAAUUAACUCAAUAAAUUUUAUUGAUAUAAAAUUUAUUCAUUUCCGUUAUUAAAUUAAAAUUGUUAAUUAAGAUUAAUUUUUAAAUAUUUCAGGUCAAGAUGUAGUAUAUAUUAGAAACUUAUUAGCUACAUUAAUUAUAAUUUAUUGGAUUACGUUAAUGAAAAAGUUAAGAAAUUGAAUUUAGAUGUAAUAAUAUCUAGAAAGUUAUUGUGAAUUUAUAUAAAUUAAUGUACAUAUUGCCCGUCACUUCUAUAUAAUAUAGAAUAAGUCGUAACAAA
This 380-nucleotide ribosomal RNA is filed under the name Acrogonyleptes spinifrons. RNAcentral describes it as "partial small subunit ribosomal RNA". Lineage: Eukaryota; Metazoa; Arthropoda; Arachnida; Opiliones; Gonyleptidae. The record is from RNAcentral.